AAUGAACGCUGGCGGCGUGGAUUAGGCAUGCAAGUCGAACGAGAAGUGGGGCUUCGGUCCCAUGGACAGUGGCGAACUGGUGAGUAUAAGUUGGGUACGUGCCCAGAAGUGGGGGAUAGCCCCGGGAAACCGGGAUUAAUACCGCAUGUGGACGAGAGUCUAAAGCAUUUAUGCGCUUCUGGAUCGGCCCGACCCUCAUUAGCUUGUUGGUGUGGUAAUGGCGCACCAAGGCGACGAUGAGUAGCUGGUUUGAGAGAAUGACCAGCCACACGAGGACUGAGAUACGGCCUCGACUCCUACGGGGGGCAGCAGUCUAGAAGCUUCGGCAAUGGGGGAAACCCUGACCGAGCGACGCCGCGUGAGGGAUUAAGCCCCUUCGGGGUGUAAACCUCUUUCGCGUGGGAAGAAUGCUUUGACGGUGAGUCAGAGUUUGACGGUACCACGAAAAGAAGCACCGGCUAACUCCG
RNAcentral lists this ribosomal RNA (467 nucleotides) under uncultured bacterium. RNAcentral describes it as "bacterial SSU rRNA". It matches the Rfam family "Bacterial small subunit ribosomal RNA", at positions 29 to 505 of the family's 1533-position model. The record is from RNAcentral.